RNAcentral lists this ribosomal RNA (673 nucleotides) under Synapturanus mesomorphus. Its description in RNAcentral is "partial large subunit ribosomal RNA". It matches the Rfam family "Bacterial large subunit ribosomal RNA", at positions 1589 to 2512 of the family's 2925-position model. The record is from RNAcentral. Lineage: Eukaryota; Metazoa; Chordata; Amphibia; Anura; Microhylidae.
ACUUGUGUUAGAACUAGUAACAAGAAAAAGACCCUCUCCAAAGUGCAACUAUAGCCACACCAACACCACUGACACCUAUGUUAUGACAAAUAGUAAUAACCUUACUAGAAAACUCUACUAACACUUACGUCAAACUUACACUAGAGCACUACCGGAAAGAUUAAAAAAGAGGGAAGGAACUCGGCAAACACCAACCCCGCCUGUUUACCAAAAACAUCGCCUCCCGUCUCCUAUGAGAGGUCCAGCCUGCCCAGUGGAUUUACUAAACGGCCGCGGUACCCUAACCGUGCUAAGGUAGCGCAAUCACUUGUCCCCUAAAUAGGGACUCGUAUGAACGGCACCACGAGGGUUGUUCUGUCUCCCCCCUUUAAUCAGUGAAACUGACCCCCCCGUGAAGAGGCGGGGAUAAGCAUAUAAGACGAGAAGACCCCAUGGAGCUUUAAAUUCACGCCACCUAUCCUCCAAACACCCUUAAAACCGGGUAGCCCUGGCCACUGUUUUAGGUUGGGGCGACCACGGAGUAAAACUCAACCUCCGAGACGAAUAUUUAAUUCAAGAGCAACAACUCAAAAAAUCAAAACUGACGUAAUUGACCCAAAAAAUCAUUUGAUCAACGAACCAAGUUACCCUGGGGAUAACAGCGCAAUCCAUUUCAAGAACCCCUAUCGACAAA